GGGUUGAUCCUGAAACUCAGUUGAACGCUGGCGGGAUGCUUUACACAUGCAAGUCGAACGGCAGCACGAGACUUCGGUCUGGUGGCGAGUGGCGAACGGGUGAGUAAUGUAUCGGAACAGUACCCCCUGAAAUGUAGGGGAUAACUACGCGAAGAAGCGUAGCUAAUACCGCAUACGCCCUUCGGGGAAAGCGGGGGACCUUCGGGCCUCGCACUAUCUCAGCGGCCGAUAUCGGAUUAGCUGAUUGGUGGGGUAACGGCUCACCAGGCGACGAUCAUGUGGUUUGAAGAGGACGAUGCGAAAGCACGCACUGGGACUGAGGAAUACAGCCCAGACUCCUACGGGAGGCAGCAGUGGGAAUUUUGGACAAUGGAAACCUGAUCCAGCCAUCCCGCGUGUGCGAUGAGCGCUUCGGGUUGUAAAGCACUUUUUGGCGGAAAAAGCCGGCACGGGAUAUGCCCCGUGCAACUGACGGUACCUGCAGAAUAGCCACCAAGCUAACUACGUGCCAGCAGCCGCGAUAACCACGUAGGGUGCAAGCUGAUUAAUCGGAAUUAUGGGCGUAAAGCGUGCGCAGGCGGUUCGGAAAGAAAAGAUGUGAGAUCAGAACUUAGCACUGGAACUGCAUUUUUAACUGCAGGCUGGUGUGUCGGGAAGUGGAAUUCACGCGUGUAGCAGUGAAAUGCGUAGAUAUGCGGAGAGACACCGAUGGCGAAGGCAGCCUCCUGGGAUAACACUGACGCUCAUGUACGAAAAGCAGCGGGAGCAAACAGGAUUAGAUACCCUGGUAGUCCACGCCCUAAACGAUAUCAACUAGCUGUUGGGGCCUUCAGGCCUUGGUAGCGCAACUAACGCGUAUAGGGUAAACCGCCUAGAAUACGGUCACCAGAUUCAGCCUCAAGGAAUUCGGCAGGGACCCGCACAAGCGGUGGAUGAUGUGGAUUAAUUCGAUGCAACGCGAAAAACCUUACCUACCCUUGACAUAUUGGAAUCCCGAAGAGAUUUGGGAGUGCUCGCAAGAAGACCGGAACACAGGUGCUGCAUGGCUGUCGUCAAGCUCGUGUCGUGAGAUGUUGGGUUAAGUCCGCAGCAGGCGCAGCCCUUGUCAUUAGUUGCUACGAAGGGCACUCUAAUGGGAACCGCAGUGACAAACCGGGGAAGGUGGGGAUGACGUCAAGUCCUCAUGGCCCAUAUGGUGGAGCUUCCGCAUCAUGCAAUGGUCGGGACAGAGGGUGCUUAACCGCGAGGGAAAUUCGUCCAGAAACCCGAUCGUGAUCCGGAUCGCAGUCUGCAAUCGACUGCGUGAAGUCGAAUCUUCAAUAAUCGCGGAUCAGCAUGUCGCGGUGAAUACGUUCCCGGGUCUUGUACACACCGCCCGUCACACCAUGGGAGUGGGUUUUACCAGAAGUAGUUAUGCUUCUAACCGUAAGGGCGAUUACCACGGUAGGAUUCAUGACUGAAGUCGUAACAAAGGUAG
Molecule: ribosomal RNA, 1477 nt
Filed under: uncultured Bordetella sp.
Lineage: Bacteria; Pseudomonadati; Pseudomonadota; Betaproteobacteria; Burkholderiales; Alcaligenaceae
Description: partial 16S-23S ribosomal RNA intergenic spacer
Rfam family: Bacterial small subunit ribosomal RNA
Source: RNAcentral